UACGUAGGGGGCAAGCGUUGUCCGGAAUCAUUGGGCGUAAAGAGCGCGUAGGCGGCCCAGUAAGUCCGCUCUGAAAGUCAGGGGCUCAACCCCUGGAUGCGGGUGGAUACUGCUGGGCUAGAGUCCGGAAGAGGUGAGUGGAAUUCCUGGUGUAGAGGUGAAAUUCGUAGAUAUUGGGUGGAACACCGGUGGCGAAAGCGGCUCUCUGGUCCGGACCUGACGCUGAGGCGCGAAAGCGUGGGGAGCAAACAGG
This 253-nucleotide ribosomal RNA is filed under the name uncultured bacterium. Its description in RNAcentral is "partial 16S ribosomal RNA". It matches the Rfam family "Bacterial small subunit ribosomal RNA", at positions 524 to 776 of the family's 1533-position model. The record is from RNAcentral.